Molecule: ribosomal RNA, 734 nt
Filed under: Sordariomycetes sp.
Lineage: Eukaryota; Fungi; Ascomycota; Sordariomycetes
Description: eukaryotic LSU rRNA
Rfam family: Eukaryotic large subunit ribosomal RNA (bases 306-734)
Source: RNAcentral
GGCAUCGAUGAAGAACGCAGCGAAAUGCGAUAAGUAAUGUGAAUUGCAGAAUUCAGUGAAUCAUCGAAUCUUUGAACGCACAUUGCGCCCAUUAGUACUCUGGUGGGCAUGCCUGUUCGAGCGUCAUUACGACCCUUAAGCCUAGCUUAGUAUUGGGAACCUACGUGCGGCAGCUACCCUGUAGCUACCCUGUAGCUCCUUAAAGACAACGGCGGAGACGUGGAGUCCUCUGAGCUUAGUAAACUUUUUCUAGCUUCUGAAGGCGCCGCGGCCCCUGCCGUAAAACCCCCCAACUCUUUAGUGGUUGACCUCGGAUCAGGUAGGAAUACCCGCUGAACUUAAGCAUAUCAAUAAGCGGAGGAAAAGAAACCAACAGGGAUUGCCUUAGUAACGGCGAGUGAAGCGGCAACAGCUCAAAUUUGAAAGCUGGCCUUCGGGUCCGCGUUGUAAUUUGUAGAGGAUGCUUUUGGUUAGGUGCCUUACGAGUUCCCUGGAACGGGACGCCUUAGAGGGUGAGAGCCCCGUACGUUUGGUUACCGAGCCUCUGUAAAGCUCCUUCGACGAGUCGAGUAGUUUGGGAAUGCUGCUCUAAAUGGGAGGUAAAUUUCUUCUAAAGCUAAAUACCGGCCAGAGACCGAUAGCGCACAAGUAGAGUGAUCGAAAGAUGAAAAGCACUUUGAAAAGAGGGUUAAAUAGCACGUGAAAUUGUUGAAAGGGAAGCGUUUAUGACCAGA